Nomascus leucogenys (northern white-cheeked gibbon) is the source of this 65-nucleotide small nucleolar RNA. It matches the Rfam family "Small nucleolar RNA SNORD59". Rfam says of the family: U59 belongs to the C/D class of snoRNA which contain the C (UGAUGA) and D (CUGA) box motifs. Most of the members of the box C/D family function in directing site-specific 2'-O-methylation of substrate RNAs. The record is from Rfam. NCBI's taxonomy places the organism in Eukaryota, Metazoa, Chordata, Mammalia, Primates, Hylobatidae.
CCUCACUGAUUAGUAGCUUCUGACUUUUCUGAGUUUGCUGAAGCUAGAUGCCAUUCCAGAUAAGA